CAAAAGAACUCAUAUGUCGACACACUUCUUGAAAUAUCACUUAUUAAAAAAUCAAACAUGACUGUAUUAAAGACCUAAACCACCAUAGUUUUCACAUGAUCAUACCGCAUUAUUCACAUAUUAUAUUAUACAUGAUGUAAUAUUUACGGAUUCAUCACAUAUUAUGUUAUAAAAUAUAUACGAUUAACUUCAAAUACAUAAAAAUGGUACAAUUUGAAAAAGAUUGUUUCUAAUCACAAAUUUAAACGAUAAGGUUUGUUCCUAUAUCACAAUUUUAAAUUUUAAAAUUUAAAAUCAUAACAAAAUAUGUAAACAAGAACGAAUAUAGUGUGAAUAUGCUAACUAGAUAUAUUCUUAGAUUUGUUGUCAACAAUAUAUACGAUUAUCAAACAAAACAAAAAACACAAAAUAAUUAAAUAACUUGGUCUACAAGGCUUUUUAUUAUGACAGAAAUACAUAAUUUUCCUUAUUUCUAUCAAACAAAAUAUCUAAUCAAUUCUACUUAUAUUCUCUACCAAGAUUUUUGGUUACCUACAUUGAUUACCAAAUAUUAUAUCCGAGCUUCUCUUAACCUUCAUCGACUACAUACCUCUCUUAUUAUAAAUACUGACCAUCUUGAUAUCCUUUUAACAUCAACUCUAUCAAAACAAAAAAAACAUCAGAAAAAAAAAGCAAACAAACUAUUCCAAAAACAUGGUUAAACUGACCAUCUCGAUUCAGAUGUCAUUCUUGAAAGACGUCGAACCACACAAGACGGUUUGACGUGUACAAGUGAAAGUGAGUGGAGACAAUGGAAUAAAAUUGCUGGUGAUUCACUGGAAGUAAUCCUAUCGAAUGUACAUGGUACGAAAAAGCUAUGUCUCAUGCAAAAAGACUUACAUGGGUGAAUUGGCUAACACGGUUCUUUGCUUUACUUCAAAUACCCGAUGAUUCAUUGAUACUUAUCUCUAUUUACAAAAUAAAAAUGGAAAAGUAGAACAUUCUUCAAGCGGUAUGAAGAAGAAAUAAGGGAGAGAAGAUUUACCCGUUCAGAUCUUAGAGGAACCACUCGGCGGCGAACUCCUACGAAACAAUGAAUCACCGUCGGAGAUUUUUUUUUUAACUUUCGAUAUAAACAAGAAGAAGUCUUUAUCUCUUUGUUGCCGGCAGAAAGAAUUUGUUGACUGGGGUUGGGCCGGAACAUAAUUUAAACAAAAUUAAAUU
Brassica rapa (field mustard) is the source of this 1203-nucleotide long non-coding RNA. RefSeq lists it as uncharacterized. The record is from RefSeq and is a predicted model, not a curated record. NCBI's taxonomy places the organism in Eukaryota, Viridiplantae, Streptophyta, Magnoliopsida, Brassicales, Brassicaceae.